GCCUUGGUGGUGGAAUUGGUAGACACGCGGGACUUAAAAUCCCGUGAUCUUUAUGAUCUUGCGGGUUCAAGUCCCGCCCGGGGUA
This 85-nucleotide transfer RNA is filed under the name Bacteroidales bacterium. Its description in RNAcentral is "tRNA-Leu". It matches the Rfam family "tRNA". From Rfam's summary of the family: Transfer RNA (tRNA) molecules are approximately 80 nucleotides in length. RNAcentral also lists the same sequence under 1 other name. Lineage: Bacteria; Pseudomonadati; Bacteroidota; Bacteroidia; Bacteroidales. The record is from RNAcentral.